UACAGAGGGGGCAAGCGUUGUUCGGAAUUCCUGGGCGUAAAGGGCGCGUAGGCUGCCUUCUAAGUCGAACGUGAAAUCCCCGGGCUCAACCCGGGAACUGCGUCCGAUACUGGAAGGCUUGAAUCCGGGAGAGGGAUGCGGAAUUCCAGGUGUAGCGGUGAAAUGCGUAGAUAUCUGGAGGAACACCGGUGGCGAAGGCGGCAUCCUGGACCGGCAUUGACGCUGAGGCGCGAAAGCCAGGGGAGCAAACGGG
This 253-nucleotide ribosomal RNA is filed under the name uncultured bacterium. RNAcentral's name for it is "partial 16S ribosomal RNA". It matches the Rfam family "Bacterial small subunit ribosomal RNA", at positions 524 to 776 of the family's 1533-position model. The record is from RNAcentral.